Molecule: ribosomal RNA, 811 nt
Filed under: uncultured archaeon
Lineage: Archaea
Description: bacterial SSU rRNA
Rfam family: Archaeal small subunit ribosomal RNA
Source: RNAcentral
ACGGCUCAGUAACACGUGGCUAACCUGCCCUUGGGAUAGGAACACCCCCGGGAAACUGGGGCUAAUUCUCAAUAGGCGAAGAACUCUGGAAUGAGUCUUCACUCAAAAGACACCUAAGUUAUGCUCUUAGGUUUCGCCCAAGGAUGGGGCCGCGACCGAUCAGGUUGUUGGUGAGGUAAUGGCUCACCAAGCCUUUUACCGGUGCGGGCCGUGGGAGCGGGAGCCCGGAGAUGGGCACUGAGACAAGGGCCCAGGCCCUACGGGGCGCAGCAGUCGCGAAAACUUUGCAAUAAGCGAAAGCUUGACAGGGCUAUCCCGAGUGCCAUCCGCUGAGGAAGGCUUUUACCCAGUCUAGAACGCUGGGGGAAUAAGGAGAGGGCAAGUCUGGUGUCAGCCGCCGCGGUAAUACCAGCUCUCCGAGUGGUGUGGAUGUUUAUUGGGCCUAAAGCAUCCGUAGCUGGCCAGGUUAGUCCCCUGUUAAAUCCACCGAAUUAAUCGUUGGAUUGCGGGGGAUACUGCUUGGCUAGGGGACGAGAGAGGCAGACGGUAUUUUCGGGGUAGGGGUGAAAUCCUAUAAUCCCGGGAAGACCACCAGUGGCGAAGGCUGUCUGCUAGAACGCGCCCGACGGUGAGGGAUGAAAGCUGGGGGAGCGAACCGGAUUAGAUACCCGGGUAGUCCCAGCUGUAAACGAUGCAGGCUAGGUGUUUGGACGGCCACGUGCCGUUCUAGUGCCGCAGGGAAGCUGUUAAGCCUGCCGCCUGGGGAGUACGAUCGCAAGAUUGAAACUUAAAGGAAUUGGCGGGGGAGCAC